Molecule: long non-coding RNA, 346 nt
Organism: Fukomys damarensis (Damara mole-rat)
Lineage: Eukaryota; Metazoa; Chordata; Mammalia; Rodentia; Bathyergidae
Exons: 3
Source: RefSeq, a predicted model, not a curated record
GGUUAUUACUGACCUGUGAGUGUGUGCUUGCAGGUGCUUGAGUUCACGUAGAGAUCAACUUUCUUUCAUAGAUGUAGUUCCUGGCUGUGAGACAUAUUGGCUGAAGACUCAGCAGUGUCAAUGCAGCUGACCUGAAGGGUUCACCAUGAGAAAGGCUGGACCAAAAUGGCAGCUCAGGACUCUACUCAGAGACCAGAUGUUCUUAUAGGGCCAACUCCUGUUUUCUUCGGCAGAAAUAAGGAAACAGUUUACUCUCCCACCAAACUUUGGCCAGUGCCAUCGACAGAGCAUAAGUACAUCUGGCUUCCCCUCUCUUCAACUAGUAAGUAUGAGUUAGAGUUUCGCU